AACGAACGCUGGCGGCGUGGAUAAGACAUGCAAGUCGAACGAGACUUUCAGCUGUAGCAAUACAGUUGAAAGUUUAGUGGCGAACGGGUGCGUAACACGUGGGCAAUCUGCCGAGAAGUGGGGGAUAGCUCGCCGAAAGGCGAAUUAAUACCGCAUAUGAUCAGGGACGACAUCUUCCCAACAUCAAAGCCGGGGCAACCUGGCGCUUCUUGAUGAGCCCCGCGGCCUAUCAGCUAGUUGGUGAGGUAACGGCUCACCAAGGCAUUGACGGGUAGCUGGUCUGAGAGGACGACCAGUCACACUGGAACUGAGACACGGUCCAGACACCUACGGGUGGCAGCAGUCGAGUAAUUUUUCUU
Molecule: ribosomal RNA, 359 nt
Filed under: uncultured bacterium
Lineage: Bacteria
Description: bacterial SSU rRNA
Rfam family: Bacterial small subunit ribosomal RNA
Source: RNAcentral